UUUCCGUAGGUGAACCUGCGGAAGGAUCAUUCAUAAUAAAGUGUUUUAUGGCACUUUUUAAAAAUCCAUAUCCACCUUGUGUGCAAUGUUAGAUCUCGUCAAUCUUGGCGAGAUUUUUAUAAAUCAACUCAUUCUUUAACUAAUAUGUCUGAAAAAUAUUAUGAAUACUUAAUUCAAAAUACAACUUUCAACAACGGAUCUCUUGGCUCUC
This 211-nucleotide unclassified non-coding RNA is filed under the name plant metagenome. RNAcentral describes it as "partial contains small subunit ribosomal RNA, internal transcribed spacer 1, and 5.8S ribosomal RNA". The record is from RNAcentral.